CAAACACAGCCUUUGUAAGACCCUUUAUCCCAGUUUUUAGGCAAUAACCGGGAUAAAAAGUUGAGGUCCAAUGGGCUUCAAAGUGAAAAGAGCCUAGCCAAAACCCUAUCAAUUGAUUUUUUGUUUUCUGCUGCUCCCUUUCUCUUGAAACCUCUCUAUUAUUCCCCUCUCACAGACACAGAGCUUUCCAAACCCUAAGCUCGCAUGAAACCUGAACCAACAAAAAAAGAAAAAAAAUCCUUUCUCUCCAUCUGAAAUUAGCUUCCCAGUCCCUCUCUCUCUUCCUCAAGUCCAUUCAUCUCAUUUUGAAGAUGUUCUUUCGGCAAGUCUGUCAUUGUAUUAGCAGUUCUGAGUAAUGUGGCAAGAGAAGUGCUUGGUUUUCACUAUAGUAGCAAACCUAGCAUUAUUAAGCGAAGGCGCAAUCGAUUAAGUUGAUCAAGCACUGCGAGGAGGCUGAACAACAAUAACUUGUCUGGGUCAUCUUCUUUACCACAAUAAUAAUUAAAAAAAAUCAGCUUGCUUUCUUGUUGAUGACCUAUCCCAAUAUUGUAAGGAAGAACAUCUCUUAUCGCUUCGACAAUAGUGGUUUAAGUCAAUUGCUUCCUUUGAUUUAUAAAUAAUCAGUAGUAUUCUAUUGUAUUUCUUUUAGACAUUUUGUUUAGUAUUUUAGAUAUUUGUACACAAUGUAAAGUAUUGGUUAUUAAUUCAAGUUACUAUUGGUUUCGAAAAUUAUAUUAAUCAUUUAUUUUUUUAGUUAA
This is a long non-coding RNA of Cannabis sativa, 758 nucleotides long. RefSeq lists it as uncharacterized. The transcript is spliced from 4 exons. NCBI's taxonomy places the organism in Eukaryota, Viridiplantae, Streptophyta, Magnoliopsida, Rosales, Cannabaceae. The record is from RefSeq and is a predicted model, not a curated record.